RNAcentral lists this long non-coding RNA (375 nucleotides) under Capsicum annuum. Its description in RNAcentral is "long non-coding RNA (CANN_LNC002338)". Lineage: Eukaryota; Viridiplantae; Streptophyta; Magnoliopsida; Solanales; Solanaceae. The record is from RNAcentral.
GUGCUAGUGAUUUGGAAAAGAAGUUAAGACAAUGAUUUAGGAUCCUUCUACCUCUACUUUUUAGUCCCCAUGUCCUAUGUAAUCAUAUGAUCCUUCCCAGUGAUGGUGAACUGAGGCCGUAAUAAGAGACAACAAGGAAACACACUCUGAGACUUACCGGGUAAAGGGUGGAAUUUAUCUAGCUUACCUGGCAGUUGAUAAGACCUAUCUUGUAAACUUUACAUGCAAAACAAUAGAACAGUUUGGUUAACCACGAGAAAUUUAUGGAGUUAAGAAGCCAGGGGAACACAAACCUAGUGAUCGUCUUGUAUUGAUUACAACUCACAUGCACUCAAGAUUUGGUUACUACUUAUGAUACUACAACCCCUCCCCCCA